AGGGCCUGGCACACAGAGGGUGCUGAAGUUUGUUGAUUGACUGAAUGGACUGAGACCACGGAACUCUGAAAGACGAAAUAAUUAGACUUGCAUCAUCUGACAAGGAAGCAAAGGAGCUGACAUUCAUGAAGCCCUUUGUUGGAUGCUGGGCACACGGAAAAGUCCACUGGUGAGAAUCCAGCUCUGGACGUGCGCUGACCAGAUGAGGUCACAGCCCUGCCACAUCCCAGCAGGGUGACUGUGACUAAAUCUCUUAACCUGUCCGGGCUUCAGCUUCUCCAUCUGCACAUUGGGAGACGUAACUCACAGACUUGUCCUGAGGAUUAAAGGAGAUAAUUCAAGCUCUUAGUAUAGUGCCCGGCCCCAAGAAAAAAAUACACCAAAA
This is a long non-coding RNA of Eubalaena glacialis (North Atlantic right whale), 385 nucleotides long. RefSeq lists it as uncharacterized. The record is from RefSeq and is a predicted model, not a curated record. The transcript has 3 exons. Lineage: Eukaryota; Metazoa; Chordata; Mammalia; Artiodactyla; Balaenidae.